GACGAACGCUGGCGGCGUGCUUAACACAUGCAAGUCGAACGGAAAGGCCCUGCUUUUGUGGGGUGCUCGAGUGGCGAACGGGUGAGUAACACGUGAGUAACCUGCCCUUGACUUUGGGAUAACUCCAGGAAACUGGGGCUAAUAUCGGAUAGGAGCUCCUGCUGCAUGGUGGGGGUUGGAAAGUUUCGGCGGUUGGGGAUGGACUCGCGGCUUAUCAGCUUGUUGGUGGGGUAGUGGCUUACCAAGGCUUUGACGGGUAGCCGGCCUGAGAGGGUGACCGGCCACAUUGGGACUGAGAUACGGCCCAGACUCCUACGGGAGGCAGCAGUGGGGAAUAUUGCACAAUGGGCGGAAGCCUGAUGCAGCAACGCCGCGUGCGGGAUGACGGCCUUCGGGUUGUAAACCGCUUUCGCCUGUGACGAAGCGUGAGUGACGGUAAUGGGUAAAGAAGCACCGGCUAACUACGUG
RNAcentral lists this ribosomal RNA (468 nucleotides) under uncultured bacterium. RNAcentral describes it as "partial 16S ribosomal RNA". It matches the Rfam family "Bacterial small subunit ribosomal RNA", at positions 28 to 507 of the family's 1533-position model. The record is from RNAcentral.